RNAcentral lists this ribosomal RNA (460 nucleotides) under uncultured bacterium. Its description in RNAcentral is "bacterial SSU rRNA". It matches the Rfam family "Bacterial small subunit ribosomal RNA", at positions 339 to 796 of the family's 1533-position model. The record is from RNAcentral.
GUACGGGAGGCAGCAGUAAGGAAUAUUGGUCAAUGGACGCAAGUCUGAACCAGCCAUGCCGCGUGAAGGAUUAAGGCCCUCUGGGUUGUAAACUUCUUUUAUAGGGGACGAAAAAAGGGCUUUCUAGCUCGUCUGACGGUACCCUAGGAAUAAGCACCGGCUAACUCCGUGCCAGCAGCCGCGGUAAUACGGAGGGUGCAAGCGUUAUCCGGAUUUACUGGGUUUAAAGGGUGCGUAGGUGGGUUUGUAAGUCAGUGGUGAAAUCUUCGAGCUUAACUCGGAAACUGCCAUUGAUACUAUAGAUCUUGAAUCAUCUAGAGGUAAGCGGAAUAUGUCAUGUAGCGGUGAAAUGCUUAGAUAUGACAUAGAACACCAAUUGCGAAGGCAGCUUACUAUGGGUGUAUUGACACUGAGGCACGAAAGCGUGGGGAUCAAACAGGAUUAGAUACCCCUGUAGUCC